RNAcentral lists this ribosomal RNA (2028 nucleotides) under Triticum aestivum (bread wheat). Its description in RNAcentral is "partial small subunit ribosomal RNA". The record is from RNAcentral. Lineage: Eukaryota; Viridiplantae; Streptophyta; Magnoliopsida; Poales; Poaceae.
AUGAACAACCUUAUCACUGAUACUUUUCACCUUAAUGUUCGUUCACAUAUUCUUAAUACCUCUGAAUCUUACGUCCUUUGUGAGAAUGAAGCCAAGGAUGCCAAGGAAGUUGUGAUGGUUGAGGAUGAUGAAUUGCCAAAAUCAUCCAGGAAGAGGAAACACUCUGAUGUGUGGGAUCACUUUGAGGAGGUUGAGGUGCUUUCAAAGAAGAAAAAAGGUGAAACAGAGAGAAAAGUUAAGUGCAAGGCUUGCAGCAAACUGUACAUGUACCCGAAGACUGGAACUACAACUACAAUGAAGAGGCAUCUGGAUGGCUGCUUUGCACAUCAUGGUGAGGAGAACAUCAAAAAAGGUCAUGGCACUCUGAAUUUUGAUGCGGCUGAUGCAUGUGGUAUUGAUCUUCCAGUAGUCAAUUUCUCUGGUGGCUAUGAUCAUGCAAAAAUUCGUGAGCUUAUUGCUACAAUGAUAAUUGUCCAUGAGUACCCUUUCCGCAUGGUCGAGCAUUUCUGGUUCAAUGUGUUGAUGAAGACUUUGAAUCCUUCUUAUCAGAAGACAUCAAGAACCACCAUCAAAAAUGAAUGUUUGCAGAUUUUUAAGUCCCGAAAGGAAACACUGAAGAAGGAACUUAAGCAUGUUGGAAAAAUUAGCCUCACAUGUGAUCUCUGGACCUCUAACCAAACUCUCUGUUAUAUGAGCUUGGUGGCACACUAUAUUGAUUCAGAAUGGAAUAUGCAGUACCGUGUGAUUAGUUUUCUUGAACUGGAGCCACCACACACAGGUAUUGUGAUAUCUCAGGCUAUAUUUGAGUGCCUUUCUGAUUGGAAGAUUGAAGACAAAAUUGCAACUAUAACUCUUGAUAAUGCUUCUUCCAAUGACGUGGCUGCUUGUCAACUGAUGUCCAAGUUUAAGGCCAAAGGAAGUGUGUUUUUCCAUGGUAAAUUUUUUCAUGGCAGAUGCUCUGCUCAUAUACUCAACCUUUUAAACAUCAGGCAAACUGUUAAGUAUUUGAAGAAAUCUCCAUCUCGGCUCUACAAAUUUACUGAGAUUGUCAAGUCACUUAACAUGUCAACCAAGAGGGGGUUGUGUCUUGAUGUUCCAACUAGAUGGGGAUCCACAUACAAGAUGCUUGAGCGUGCCUUUUCUUUCAAAAAUACAUUUUUACAUUAUGCAGAUUUGGAUGCCAAUUAUAAGUGGGAGCCAUCUAGUCAAGAGUGGAGGUUGUAUGCUAAAAUAAGGGAUAUUUUAGCAGUGUUGAGCAUGGCGACCACUGUGUUUUCUGGAUCAACCUAUCCUACAGCUAAUGAGUUCUUUCUUCUAAUUGUGAAUGUUAAGAAGGUCCUCAAUGAUGCAUCUGUCUCUACAGAUAAAUUCUUGCAUGAUAUGGGAAAUGCUAUGCUUCAGAAAUUUGAGAAGUAUUGGAAAGAGUGCAGUACUUUGCUGUCAAUAGCGUCAAUUCUGGAUCCAAGGUACAAGAUGGAUCUAAUUAAUUUCUGUUUUCCCAAGAUAUAUGUUGCUAGUGACAUUGAACACAACAUUGACUCAGUAAGUUCAACACUGAAGGAGUUGUAUGAACAUUAUGAGAGUGAACACACAGCCAACUUGGUUGCAGCAGAAAAGAAAGUGGAUAAUCAGGCCGUCGCUUCAGAAAAUGGGACAUCAAGCAAUAGUCUCAUGGCAAUUUCAACUCAGUUUCGUACCUUCAUGAAGACUACUGCUAAAAAGGUUUCCAAGUCAGAUCUAGUUGCAUACUUAGAUGAGGCUGCACUUAAUCAUUCAGAAGACUUUGAUGUGCUACUUUGGUGGAAGCAAAAUUCAUCAAGGUAUCCAAUACUAUCCAAGGUUGCGAAAGAUAUUCUUACUGUGCCAGUCAGUACUGUUUCUUCGGAAUCAUCAUUUAGUACUGGAGGCAGAGUGCUUGAUAAUUAUAGAAGCUCUUUACUCCCAAAUACUGUUGAGGCUUUGGUAUGUUCAGCUAGUUGGAUUAGAGGCUCCCAAAAGAAAAAGAAAGCUAACAAGGUGAGUUCCUGA